AUUGAACGCUGGCGGCAGGCCUAACACAUGCAAGUCGAGCGAGCGGCGGACGGGUGAGUAAUGUAUGGGGACUGCCCGAUAGAGGGGGAUAACUACUGGAAACGGUAGCUAAUACCGCAUACUAUCGGAUAACCCAUAUGGGUUUAGCUAGUAGGGGAGGUAAUGGCUCAACUAGGCGACGAUCCCUAGCUGGUCUGAGAGGAUGAUCAGACAGACUGGGACUGAGACACUGCCCAGACGCCUACGGAGGCAGCGUGGUGGAUUCGUGCACAAUGGGGGCAAUCUUGAUGCAGCCAUGCCGCGUGUAUGAAGAAGGCCCUAGGGUUGUAAAGUACUGUCAGUCGGGAGGCGUUACCGACAGAAGAAGCACCGGCUAACUCCGUGCCAGCAGCCGCGGUAAUAC
RNAcentral lists this ribosomal RNA (403 nucleotides) under uncultured bacterium. Its description in RNAcentral is "partial 16S ribosomal RNA". It matches the Rfam family "Bacterial small subunit ribosomal RNA", at positions 30 to 526 of the family's 1533-position model. The record is from RNAcentral.